This 864-nucleotide small RNA is filed under the name uncultured Lewia. RNAcentral's name for it is "eukaryotic LSU rRNA". The stretch from base 581 to 864 matches the Rfam family "Eukaryotic large subunit ribosomal RNA", at positions 1 to 281 of the family's 3401-position model. Lineage: Eukaryota; Fungi; Ascomycota; Dothideomycetes; Pleosporales; Pleosporaceae. The record is from RNAcentral.
CUUGGUCAUUUAGAGGAAGUAAAAGUCGUAACAAGGUCUCCGUAGGUGAACCUGCGGAGGGAUCAUUACACAAUAACAAGGCGGGCUGGACACCCCCCGCUGGGCACUGCUUCACGGCGUGCGCGGCGGGGCCGGCCCUGCUGAAUUAUUCACCCGUGUCUUUUGCGUACUUCUUGUUUCCUGGGUGGGCUCGCCCGCCCUCAGGACCAACCACAAACCUUUUGCAAUAGCAAUCAGCGUCAGUAACAACGUAAUUAAUUACAACUUUCAACAACGGAUCUCUUGGUUCUGGCAUCGAUGAAGAACGCAGCGAAAUGCGAUACGUAGUGUGAAUUGCAGAAUUCAGUGAAUCAUCGAAUCUUUGAACGCACAUUGCGCCCUUUGGUAUUCCAAAGGGCAUGCCUGUUCGAGCGUCAUUUGUACCCUCAAGCUUUGCUUGGUGUUGGGCGUCUUUUGUCUCCAGUUCGCUGGAGACUCGCCUUAAAGUCAUUGGCAGCCGGCCUACUGGUUUCGGAGCGCAGCACAAGUCGCGCUCUUCGCCAGCCAAGGUCAGCGUCCAGCAAGCCUUUUUUUCAACCUUUGACCUCGGAUCAGGUAGGGAUACCCGCUGAACUUAAGCAUAUCAAUAAGCGGAGGCACAAGAAACCAACCGGGAUUGCCCUAGUAACGGCGAGUGAAGCGGCAACAGCUCAAAUUUGAAAUCUGGCUCUUUUAGAGUCCGAGUUGUAAUUUGCAGAGGGCGCUUUGGCUUUGGCAGCGGUCCAAGUUCCUUGGAACAGGACGUCACAGAGGGUGAGAAUCCCGUACGUGGUCGCUGGCUAUUGCCGUGUAAAGCCCCUUCGACGAGUCGAGUUGUUUGGGAAU